UGGGGAAUAUUGGACAAUGGGCGCAAGCCUGAUCCAGCCAUGCCGCGUGAGUGAUGAAGGCCCUAGGGUUGUAAAGCUCUUUUAACGGGGAAGAUAAUGACGGUACCCGUAGAAUAAGCCCCGGCUAACUUCGUGCCAGCAGCCGCGGUAAUACGAAGGGGGCUAGCGUUGCUCGGAAUUACUGGGCGUAAAGGGUGCGUAGGUGGAUCUUUAAGUCAGGGGUGAAAUCCUGGAGCUCAACUCCAGAACUGCCUUUGAUACUGAGGAUCUUGAGUUCGGGAGAGGUAAGUGGAACUGCGAGUGUAGAGGUGAAAUUCGUAGAUAUUCGCAAGAACACCAGUGGCGAAGGCGGCUUACUGGCCCGAUACUGACACUGAGGCACGAAAGCGUGGGGAGCAAACA
RNAcentral lists this ribosomal RNA (402 nucleotides) under uncultured Nitrobacter sp. RNAcentral describes it as "bacterial SSU rRNA". It matches the Rfam family "Bacterial small subunit ribosomal RNA", at positions 355 to 774 of the family's 1533-position model. Lineage: Bacteria; Pseudomonadati; Pseudomonadota; Alphaproteobacteria; Hyphomicrobiales; Nitrobacteraceae. The record is from RNAcentral.